Molecule: non-coding RNA, 2367 nt
Organism: Equus caballus (horse)
Lineage: Eukaryota; Metazoa; Chordata; Mammalia; Perissodactyla; Equidae
Source: RefSeq, a predicted model, not a curated record
UCAACCAGAAGUGGGUAGCUUUCCCUCCCCGCUCCACCCACUCUUGGUAUUGCUGCAGGCGCUGGAAGCGUCGGUUUAAUCUAUCCUUUGGCUCCUCCACUGGGCGGACCCCUGGCAGGCCAGAGCGAAAAGGGUAGCGGAAGGAGGGGGCCCUGGGCCGGGCUGGCGCGCCUUGACUUGUGGGUUAGCGUUCCGGGAACAGUAACACAUGGAUCUGGGUGAAACAUUGGCUUUCUGUGUUUCCUGCGUUUGGUACCUUUGGAGGGCCGGCUGCAGCUGCGGGAGGCCGCGCUCGCUGCCAGCGGUCAAGGCGACCUUGCUCGGAAAACGACUGUUGUACUUUGAGCUAGUGACUCCAGAGGCUUUGCCGCUUUCUAGGCAUUCCUCCAGGAGCUUUCUCCCCCUGGAGGCCUAGCCUGUAAACGCAGUUUGUUUUUGCAGUGUGAUGCUGCCUUAUUCUUGUCUUUGGCGCCAAGAGUGGCAUGCAAUCCCUACCAGUUAAUUAUGGCCUCUCGGAGGAAAAAACAAUAAAGUGCUGUCCUUUAUGUCUACAGUUGGUGCUUCUGAGGAUGCCUACCACAGCAUGGUGUGCCAGGCGGUGCCAUGUCCGUACCUGGGAUCCGAACGGGCGCACCCCGGGCCGCCGAGAAGUGGAACGUGCUAACUUAACCGCUACGCCACCAGCCCAGCCCCAUCUCUGAUGACCUUUUUUGGAUGAGGGCUACCCUGGGAAAAGCAUGACCUCAUGACCUGAAGUGGAGGCCAACCCGGAAGUGGCAGACACUUGGCAUCUGAACACACUCUCCACAGCUGGGCAGCAGAAAUUAGCACUAUCCUGGAUGUGGUGUUUAUCAUUCUAAGGUAAUGUUUAAAUUUUACUACUUCAAAUGUAUAUGUGUGUACAUGUGCCCUUAAACAUUAUAAAGUAUUGUUUAUAUUUUUAAACUUUAAAUGUUUACUUUUAAUAAUUAAAAAUGUAUAUAUGGUAUCAUAGUGGAUGUGUAUUCUCCUGCACCUUGCAUUUUCAUCGUUUUAGAGAUUUAUCUGUGUUGAUAUAGUACUAAUUCACUCAUUUUAACUGCUAUAUAACAUUUAUAAAUAUAUUUUAUAAAUUUUUAUACUGUUUUAUAAAGUUUAAACUGUUAUAUAUUUUUUAAUGUAUCACAAUUUAUCCAUUGUGCUGUUGAACACACAGUCUGUUUCAAUUUUUUUUUUUUUACUAAUUACAGAUACAGAAAUAAACAUUCUUGUGUAUUUCUCUUUGUAUAUGGUAUGAGAAUUUCUCUAGGAUAUAUAAGAUUAGAAUUGCUUAGUCAUAAGAUGUGGGCACCUUUAACUACAAAAUCUCACCAUAUUGCUUUUCAAAGUAGUUGUGCUAACUCAUAUCCCUACCAUGGAUGAGUUUACAUGGCUCUUCGUCACCGUCAUCUAGUGCUGUGAGGCUUUUCCAUUUUUGCCAAUUGGAUGCAUGUGAAAUAGCACUGUACUGUUUUAUGUUGUAUUACACUCGUUACAGAGGUUGAUCUCAUAAAUUUAUUGGUCACUUGGGUUUUGUCUUCUGUGAAUUGCCUACUCAUAUUCCUUGCUCAUUUUUGAGUUGCCUGUUUUUCUUAUUGACUUAUACAACUUAUGUAUAUUUUCUGAAUACUAAUCUUGUGUUGAUUAUAUGUACUGUGAAUAUCUUCUCCCAGUCCGUGGACUUUUUGAUUUUUUUUAUGGGGCCUUUUGGUUAUAUUGGAGCACUCUCUGCCAUAUUAUUUUGUGCUUUGUAUUAACUUUGCUUUUUCUAAGCUAUCUUUCCCCAUCGCACCCUUUCCCUGACUCUAUUUGACUGAUCACGUUUCCCCCCUCUACUGGUUUGGCUGUUAUUCAUUCUAUUUUUAUUCUUUUAGGGUCACCUUUAAAAUAUUUUCUAAAAUUUUAACUUACAUUCAGUAAAAUUCAUUUUUUGGUGUACACUUCCAAGUUUUUACAAAUGCAUAGUAGAACCACCACAAUUAAGAUACAAAGCAUCAUCAGCCCCCAAAAUUCCCUCUUAUUGUCCCUUUGUAGUCAGCCCCUCUCCCUACACCAACCCACGCUAAUCAUUUAUCUGUUUUCACUCUUAGUCUUGCCUUUUGCAUAAUGUGAUGUAAAUGGAAUUAAACCAUAUGCAGCCUUUUAAUUCUGGCUUCUUUCACUUAGCACAAUGCAUUAAAGAUUUAUUCAUGUUGUUGAAUGUAUCAAUAGUUUGUUCCUUUAUAACUGCAGAGUAGUAGUAUUCCAUUGCAGAGACGCACCAAUCACUGUUUAUCUAUUCACCAGUUGAAGGCCAUUUUUGGUUGUUUCAAGUUUUUGGCAACUAUAAAUAAAACUACUACAAACCUU